GGCUGGUCCGAUGGUAGUGGGUUAUCAGAACUUACUAACAUUAGCACCAUUAAAGUUAGUAUACAACCCCCCACUGCUAAAUUUGGCUUUAA
Molecule: Y RNA, 92 nt
Filed under: Microcebus murinus (gray mouse lemur)
Lineage: Eukaryota; Metazoa; Chordata; Mammalia; Primates; Cheirogaleidae
Description: Y RNA (ENSMICG00000043628.1)
Rfam family: Y RNA
About the family: Y RNAs are components of the Ro ribonucleoprotein particle (Ro RNP), in association with Ro60 and La proteins. The Y RNAs and Ro60 and La proteins are well conserved, but the function of the Ro RNP is not known.
Source: Rfam by way of RNAcentral